This 424-nucleotide ribosomal RNA is filed under the name uncultured bacterium. Its description in RNAcentral is "bacterial SSU rRNA". It matches the Rfam family "Bacterial small subunit ribosomal RNA", at positions 355 to 774 of the family's 1533-position model. The record is from RNAcentral.
UUAAGAAUCUUGUGCAAUGGACGAAAGUAUGACGCAGCGACGCCGCGUGAAGGAUGAAGGCUUUCGGGUUGUAAACUUCGGUAGACUGGGAAGAAAAAGUAAGUUCGUUGAGGGCUUACAUUGACGGUACCAGUCUGAAGCCCCGGCUAAUUACGUGCCAGCAGCCGCGGUAAUACGUAUGGGGCAAGCGUUGUUCGGAAUUAUUGGGCGUAAAGGGCUCGCAGGUGGUUUGUUAAGUUGGAGGUUUAAUCUCUGGGCUCAACCCAGAGUCAGCCCUCAAAACUGGCGAACAUGAGUACGAUAGGGGAUAGCGGAAUGCUCGGUGUAGCGGUGUAAUGCGUAGAUAUCGAGACGAACACCAAUGGCGAAGGCAGCGAUCUGGACCGUAACUGACACUCAUGAGCGAAAGUGCGGGGAGCAAACA